This 82-nucleotide transfer RNA is filed under the name Candidatus Epulonipiscium sp. RNAcentral describes it as "tRNA-Leu". It matches the Rfam family "tRNA". From Rfam's summary of the family: Transfer RNA (tRNA) molecules are approximately 80 nucleotides in length. Their secondary structure includes four short double-helical elements and three loops (D, anti-codon, and T loops). Further hydrogen bonds mediate the characteristic L-shaped molecular structure. tRNAs have two regions of fundamental functional importance: the anti-codon, which is responsible for specific mRNA codon recognition, and the 3' end, to which the tRNAs corresponding amino acid is attached (by aminoacyl-tRNA synthetases). tRNAs cope with the degeneracy of the genetic code in two manners: having more than one tRNA (with a specific anti-codon) for a particular amino acid; and 'wobble' base-pairing, i.e. permitting non-standard base-pairing at the 3rd anti-codon position. Lineage: Bacteria; Bacillati; Bacillota; Clostridia; Lachnospirales; Lachnospiraceae. The record is from RNAcentral.
GCGGGUAUGGCGGAAUUGGCAGACGCGCUAGACUUAGGAUCUAGUGCCCUUGGGCAUGUGGGUUCGACCCCCUCUACCCGCA